This 254-nucleotide unclassified non-coding RNA is filed under the name uncultured Acidimicrobiia bacterium. Its description in RNAcentral is "contains 16S-23S intergenic spacer region". It matches the Rfam family "Bacterial small subunit ribosomal RNA", at positions 524 to 776 of the family's 1533-position model. The record is from RNAcentral. Lineage: Bacteria; Bacillati; Actinomycetota; Acidimicrobiia.
UACGUAGGGUCCGAGCGUUGUCCGGAUUCAUUGGGCGUAAAGAGCUCGUAGGCGGCUCAGUAAGUCGGAUGUGAAAACUCAGGGCUCAACCCGGAGACGCCAUCCGAUACUGCUGUGGCUUGAGUCUGGUAGGGGAACACGGAAUACCUGGUGUAGCGGUGAAAUGCGCAGAUAUCAGGUGGAACACCGAUGGCGAAGGCAGUGUUCUGGGCCAGUACUGACGCUGAGGAGCGAAAGCGUGGGGAGCAAACAGG